GAUGAACGCUGGCGGCGUGCUUAACACAUGCAAGUCGAACGAUGAAGCCCAGCUUGCUGGGUGGAUUAGUGGCGAACGGGUGAGUAACACGUGAGUAACCUGCCCUUAACUCUGGGAUAAGCCUGGGAAACUGGGUCUAAUACCGGAUAGGAGCGUCCACCGCAUGGUGGGUGUUGGAAAGAUUUAUCGGUUUUGGAUGGACUCGCGGCCUAUCAGCUUGUUGGUGAGGUAAUGGCUCACCAAGGCGACGACGGGUAGCCGGCCUGAGAGGGUGACCGGCCACACUGGGACUGAGACACGGCCCAGACUCCUACGGGAGGCAGCAGUGGGGAAUAUUGCACAAUGGGCGCAAGCCUGAUGCAGCGACUCCGCGUGAGGGAUGACGGCCUUCGGGUUGUAAACCUCUUUCAGUAGGGAAGAAGCGAAAGUGACGGUACCUGCAGAAGAAGCACCGGCUAACUACGUG
This 466-nucleotide ribosomal RNA is filed under the name uncultured bacterium. RNAcentral describes it as "partial 16S ribosomal RNA". It matches the Rfam family "Bacterial small subunit ribosomal RNA", at positions 28 to 507 of the family's 1533-position model. The record is from RNAcentral.